This 300-nucleotide ribosomal RNA is filed under the name uncultured Bacillus sp. Its description in RNAcentral is "bacterial SSU rRNA". The stretch from base 58 to 300 matches the Rfam family "Bacterial small subunit ribosomal RNA", at positions 553 to 795 of the family's 1533-position model. The record is from RNAcentral. Lineage: Bacteria; Bacillati; Bacillota; Bacilli; Caryophanales; Bacillaceae.
GUGACAUGCGGUGCAGCGGCCGGGGUACGAGGAAGGGGGGUAGUGUUGGUGGAAAGGACUAGUGGUGAAGGGCACGUAGGCGUACUAUUAAGUCAGGGGGGAAGUCCCGGGGCUCAACCCCGGAACUGCCUGUGAUACUGGUAGUCUCGAGUCCGGAAGAGGUGAGUGGAAUUCCGAGUGUAGAGGUGAAAUUCGUAGGUAUUCGGAGGAACACCAGUGGCGAAGGCGGCUCACUGGUCCGGUACUGACGCUGAGGUGCGAAAGCGUGGGGAGCAAACAGGAUUAGAUACCCGGGUAGUC